Molecule: ribosomal RNA, 766 nt
Filed under: uncultured Staphylococcus sp.
Lineage: Bacteria; Bacillati; Bacillota; Bacilli; Caryophanales; Staphylococcaceae
Description: SSU rRNA
Rfam family: Bacterial small subunit ribosomal RNA
Source: RNAcentral
UCCUCUGACGUUAGCGGCGGACGGGUGAGUAACACGUGGAUAACCUACCUAUAAGACUGGGAUAACUUCGGGAAACCGGAGCUAAUACCGGAUAAUAUAUUGAACCGCAUGGUUCAAUAGUGAAAGACGGUUUUGCUGUCACUUAUAGAUGGAUCCGCGCCGCAUUAGCUAGUUGGUAAGGUAACGGCUUACCAAGGCGACGAUGCGUAGCCGACCUGAGAGGGUGAUCGGCCACACUGGAACUGAGACACGGUCCAGACUCCUACGGGAGGCAGCAGUAGGGAAUCUUCCGCAAUGGGCGAAAGCCUGACGGAGCAACGCCGCGUGAGUGAUGAAGGUCUUCGGAUCGUAAAACUCUGUUAUUAGGGAAGAACAAAUGUGUAAGUAACUAUGCACGUCUUGACGGUACCUAAUCAGAAAGCCACGGCUAACUACGUGCCAGCAGCCGCGGUAAUACGUAGGUGGCAAGCGUUAUCCGGAAUUAUUGGGCGUAAAGCGCGCGUAGGCGGUUUUUUAAGUCUGAUGUGAAAGCCCACGGCUCAACCGUGGAGGGUCAUUGGAAACUGGAAAACUUGAGUGCAGAAGAGGAAAGUGGAAUUCCAUGUGUAGCGGUGAAAUGCGCAGAGAUAUGGAGGAACACCAGUGGCGAAGGCGACUUUCUGGUCUGUAACUGACGCUGAUGUGCGAAAGCGUGGGGAUCAAACAGGAUUAGAUAUCCUGGUAGUCCACGCCGUAAACGAUGAGUGCUAAGUGUUAGGGGGUUUCC